Molecule: long non-coding RNA, 1354 nt
Filed under: Homo sapiens (human)
Lineage: Eukaryota; Metazoa; Chordata; Mammalia; Primates; Hominidae
Description: HSALNT0398574
Source: RNAcentral
ACUAUAUAUCUCUAUGUAUCUCUCUAUCUAUGGCCUGGCACAUUAUAAGUAGGCAAAAAUACUUUAUGCUACUUUAUGCAGUAUUUAGCAAAUUCAGUAUCCACCAGUACCUAACAUAGUUCUUGGUCCAUAGUACAUAUUUAGAAAAUGCUGUUUCGUGACACUAGCCCCAAUUGCUGUGCAUGACACCUCUGAAGCGUCAGGAAAUGCCACCUCUCCCAACUUAACCUUCAAACCAGCACCCCGUGAAACUGCAGCUAGAAAACAACCCUGUAGUCCCAGUUCUGCCCCCUCCAUGCUGAGUGACCUUGGGUUGCUCCCUUUCCCUCUUUGAGCCGCAGAGUUCUCCAUCUGGAAUACAGGUAGCACUUGUUGCCCAGGCAGUACCGCCACAGGCCCUGGUGGGCGAAGGACCCUGACAGCCGGUACUGCAUCCAGUGGUCUGUUGCCAUGGCCACCACCAGGAGGAUGGUCCCCACCCAGGCACAGAACAGGCCACCACCCAUGAAGCUGUACAUGCGUUCCUUCACCGGGAUCUUCAUUGUCCCAUGUUGGGCGCCAGGAAUGCUGGGGUGAUCAGACCCAGCACCAGGCCAUGGGGGCUACAAAGUCUGGCAGAGUCAAAGGAAUGAGAAAAGACAAGUUAAAAGUGCAUAAGCAGUGAGAUCUCAGCCAGGCCAGAAAAAGCUGCCAUGCCAAAAGCGGCCGACACUAACUCCACGCGGUGCUCCUGGAAACGUCGGGCUCCCAGCUCCCAUGAGGCAGAAAACGGGCAUCUAUUCUUUUAACAUACCAAAUAUUUGAGCACUUACCACGCGUCGGGCACUGAUUUACAGCACAGAGUGAAACUAAGUCCCUGCCCUUGCCUUGCUGAGCUUGCAUUCCAUCUUGGAAGGAGGAACAGACAAUAAUUAGCAAAAGUACAAUGACUGAGGUAUACUGCGUUGAUCACGACCUUCACUCUUUCGGCCUGCAACACCUCCCCUCUUCCUGGGUCCAGGCCCCAGACCCCGCCACGCCUCCUCUUAACCUACAUGAUCAGGGCCAGGCAGAGGAAAAGAAGAGCCGUGAUGCCGAUUCCCAGAAACGCUCCGUUGGAGAAUGCCGUUGAGAUGAGUCCCUUCUUAUCUGCACACGGAGAGGGCAAGGAAACCCUGCCACACCCCGGCCCAGGUGUUAGGACUUCCCAUUGUGUUUUCCUGUCUACAUACAGAUGCCACGGGUCUGCUGUGUCCCUCCAAGCUCCUGCUCCAACCACAGGACCCUACUCUUUGCCCCAGUCAGCUUCUCCUCCAAGAACCUUGGCAUCCAGGCGGCCCCCUAACCUGGCAGCUGCAGGAUGGAUCCACUCUGG